AUUGAACGCUGGCGGCAUGCCUUACACAUGCAAGUCGAACGGCAGCACGGGAGCAAUCCUGGUGGCGAGUGGCGAACGGGUGAGUAAUAUAUCGGAACGUGCCCAGUCGUGGGGGAUAACGCAGCGAAAGCUGUGCUAAUACCGCAUACGAUCUAUGGAUGAAAGCGGGGGGUCGCAACACCUCGCGCGAUUGGGGCGUCCGAUAUCAGAUUAGCUAGUUGGUGAGGUAAAGGCUCACCAAGGCGACGAUCUGUAGUUGGUCUGAGAGGACGAACAGCCACACUGGAACUGGGACACGGUCCAGACUCCUACGGGAGGCAGCAGUGGGGAAUUUUGGACAAUGGGCGAAAGCCUGAUCCAGCAAUGCCGCGUGCAGGAUGAAGGCCUUCGGGUUGUAAACUGCUUUUGUACGGAACGAAACGGUGAGCUCUAAUACAGUUUGCUAAUGACGGUACCGUAAGAAUAAGCACCGGCUAACUACGUGCCAGCCGCCGCGGUAA
Molecule: ribosomal RNA, 500 nt
Filed under: uncultured bacterium
Lineage: Bacteria
Description: partial 16S ribosomal RNA
Rfam family: Bacterial small subunit ribosomal RNA
Source: RNAcentral